UGUUAAAAAUUUUACCCAUUUGUACAAUUAAAAACUGGCGUGGCUAAUGGAAUAAUUAGACAUGUCACGAGUACCUCAGGUUGAUGUAUAGAAACCAAUCUUUAACAGUAGAAAUAAAUAAAUUUUUUAACA
This is a non-coding RNA of Gossypium hirsutum (cotton), 132 nucleotides long. Lineage: Eukaryota; Viridiplantae; Streptophyta; Magnoliopsida; Malvales; Malvaceae. The record is from Rfam.